This 490-nucleotide ribosomal RNA is filed under the name uncultured bacterium. Its description in RNAcentral is "bacterial SSU rRNA". It matches the Rfam family "Bacterial small subunit ribosomal RNA", at positions 899 to 1397 of the family's 1533-position model. The record is from RNAcentral.
ACUCAAAUGAAUUGACGGGGGCCCGCACAAGCAGUGGAGUAUGUGGUUUAAUUCGAAGCAACGCGAAGAACCUUACCAGGUCUUGACAUCGUGUGAACACCUGAGAGAUUAGGAUUCCCUUCGGGGCACAUAGACAGGUGGUGCAUGGUUGUCGUCAGCUCGUGUCGUGAGAUGUUGGGUUAAGUCCCGCAACGAGCGCAACCCUUACAAAUAGUUGCUACGCAAGAGCACUCUAUUAGGACUGCCGUUGAUAAAACGGAGGAAGGUGGGGAUGACGUCAAAUCAUCAUGCCCCUUAUGACCUGGGCUACACACGUACUACAAUGGCCGCCAACAAAGUGAAGCAAAUCCGCGAGGAGGAGCAAACCACAAAAAGCGGUCUCAGUUCGGAUCGCAGGCUGCAACCCGCCUGCGUGAAGUCGGAAUUGCUAGUAAUCGCGGAUCAGCAUGCCGCGGUGAAUACGUUCCCGGGCCUUGCACACACCGCCCGU